CCAAAAAUCCCACCUUCCCCAAAAGACGCUGGUUUUUUUUCCUCCUCCAUCCUUUGUCGAACCCAAUUCUCAAGCAGCAGGAAAAUCAACCGAACCUCCAUCCCACGCAUCCCCGCCCUUCACCGAUCUUCCCCGGGUAUUUGCAUCAAUCUUUGAAGUUUUUUUUUUAUAUUUUUUUAAACCGAACCCAAUUCUCCAUCCAACGCAUCCCCAUCGCCGAUCCUCAAGAAAUCCAAUGCAUCCCCUUCGCCGAUCUUCAGGGAACCCAACGCUGCCCUUCACCGAUCUUCCUCAGUAAACGACUAUGUUGAUGAGCAUGCUGAGUCUUUCGGCAAGAGUGUUUUGAGAUUAUGCAGGGUGCAAAACUUACAGAUUUGGCUUGGAGUUUUGUGCAGGGUGCAAAACUUACAGAUUUGGCUUGGAGUUUUGUGCAGGAUGCAAAACUUACAGAUUUGGCUUGGAGUUUUGACAUUGAGAUAGUUGAUAAUGAAAUGCUUGGAAAUUUGACAGUGAGGUGAAUUGUUCAUGAAAUGCUUGCAACUGUUGGUACUUGAUGAUGUUUUGUAGGCUACUUGUCCAAAGGCUGUUGAAUGGGUUCACUGAGCUCAAUUUCUAUGCAAGCCUCAUGUCUAUGUUUGGUCCAUGUAUAUGUACAUCCCAGUUUUUGUUACCAGUAUCAAAAUUGAAGAAUAAGCCCCUUCUUUGUCAAGUUAAGAUUGUAAAAGAAUGAAGAUUAGUGAUGCUAAAAAUUUUCCUAUUGAAGAGUCUUUCCCUUUUAUUUUAAUUUGCAAUCUAAGGAGAAUCAUCAUCUGCAAACACCUACAUUCACAUUGUGCCUAUCAAUAGGAAGAUGAAGUUGCCUGUAAUCUUAAUGUAAUAAUGUUCGCAUCACACAUCCUCCGAAGAGCUAAUGCCUUUUAGCAAUGUAAAGCGAGAGAUAUCUUGUAUUAUUUGCAUCGGAAACAAUGAGAAUUGCAAACUCAAGAAUUACA
Long non-coding RNA from Asparagus officinalis (garden asparagus), 992 nucleotides. RefSeq lists it as uncharacterized. The record is from RefSeq and is a predicted model, not a curated record. NCBI's taxonomy places the organism in Eukaryota, Viridiplantae, Streptophyta, Magnoliopsida, Asparagales, Asparagaceae. The transcript has 2 exons.